AUGGAAACCAGACUUCUCAGCUGUGUGGGCAUUUGCCUCCUUGGAGCAGGCCUGUCAUAUGGCAUUGUUCUCCAGAGCUCAGGAUACCUGGUCCCAGGCACAGGACAAGAUGUGGCACUGAGAUGUGAUCAGGACCAGAAUUAUGUUUAUAUGAACUGGUACCAACAGGAAACAGGACAAGGGCCAAAGGAACUUUUCCUUUCCUUUAAGCUCUCAGGUGAUAACAAGGAAAAGGACAUCUCUGACAAUUUCAAAGCCAGCCAGUCAAACAUGAAACUUUAUUACCUUAACAUCAGUUACCUGAGUGUGGGAGACUCAGCUAUAUAUCUCUGUGCUAUUAGCAAACACAGUGUUGUAGAGUCACCUCCUCUCUGUGCAUAA
Dromiciops gliroides (monito del monte) is the source of this 381-nucleotide non-coding RNA. The record is from the annotation of a RefSeq genome assembly. Lineage: Eukaryota; Metazoa; Chordata; Mammalia; Microbiotheria; Microbiotheriidae.